Molecule: small nuclear RNA, 106 nt
Organism: Aotus nancymaae (Ma's night monkey)
Lineage: Eukaryota; Metazoa; Chordata; Mammalia; Primates; Aotidae
Source: Ensembl
AUACUCGCUUCGGUAGCACAUAUACUAAAAUUAGUACUAUACAGAGAAGAGUAGCAUUGCCCCUGCACAGGAUGAUACACAAAUUAGUCAAGUGUUUUGCCUUUUU